AUUGAACGCUGGCGGCAUGCCUUACACAUGCAAGUCGAACGGUAACAGGUCUUCGGAUGCUGACGAGUGGCGAACGGGUGAGUAAUACAUCGGAACGUGCCUAGUCGUGGGGGAUAACUACUCGAAAGAGUGGCUAAUACCGCAUGAGAUCUACGGAUGAAAGCAGGGGAACGCAAGACCUUGAUGUACCUGAGCGGCCGAUGGCAGAUUAGGUAGUUGGUGGGAUAAAAGCUUACCAAGCCGACGAUCUGUAGCUGGUCUGAGAGGACGAUCAGCCACACUGGGACUGAGACACGGCCCAGACUCCUACGGGAGGCAGCAGUGGGGAAUUUUGGACAAUGGGCGAAAGCCUGAUCCAGCAAUGCCGCGUGCAGGAUGAAGGCCUUCGGGUUGUAAACUGCUUUUGUACGGAACGAAAAGCCCCGGGUUAAUACCCUGGGGUCAUGACGGUACCGUAAGAAUAAGCACCGGCUAACUACGUGCCAGCCGCCGCCGUAA
This 498-nucleotide ribosomal RNA is filed under the name uncultured bacterium. RNAcentral's name for it is "partial 16S ribosomal RNA". It matches the Rfam family "Bacterial small subunit ribosomal RNA", at positions 30 to 523 of the family's 1533-position model. The record is from RNAcentral.